GCGUGCCACCACCCCAUGGAAGAUUCAAUGGACAUGGACAGGAGCCCCCUGAGGACCUGGAACUAUCUUUUCGGUUGUGAACUAAAGGCCGACAAAGAUUAUCACUUUAAGGUGGAUAAUGAUGAAAAUGAGCUCUUUAUCUUUAAGAAUGGUCAGUUUAGGGGCUGGUGCAAAGGAUGAAUUGCACAUUGUUGAAGCAGAGGCAAUGAAUUAUGAAGGCAGUCCAAUUAAAGUAACACUGGCAACUUUGAAAAUGUCUGUACAGCCAACGGUUUCCCUUGGGGGCUUUGAAAUAACACCACCGGUGGUCUUACGGUUGAAGUGUGGUUCAGGGCCUGUGCAUAUUAAUGGGCAGCACUUAGUAGCUGUGGAAGAAGUUGCAGUCAGAAGAUGAAGAGGAGGAGGAUGUGAAACUCUUAAGUAUAUCUGGAAAGCGAUCUGCCCCUGGAGGUGGUAGCAAGUUUCCACAGAAAAAAGUAAAAUUUGCUGCUGAUGAAGAUGAUGAUAAUGAUGAUGAUGAAUUUGAUGAUGAGGAUACUGAAGAAAAAGCUCCAGUGAAGAAAUCUGUACGAGAUACUCCAGCCAAAAAUGCACAGAAAUCAAACCAGAAUGGAAAAGACUCAAAACCAUCAACACCAAGAUCAAAGGGUCAAGAAUCCUUCAAAAAACAGGAGAAAACUCCUAAAACACCAAAAGGACCUAGUUCUGUAGAAGACAUUAAGGCAAAAAUGCAAGCAAGUAUAGAAAAGGGUGGUUCUCUUCCCAAAGUGGAAGCGAAGUUCAUCAAUUACGUGAAGAACUGUUUUGGAUGACUGACCAGGAGGCUAUUCAAGAUCUCUGGCAGUGGAGGAAGUCUUUUUAAGAAAAUAGUCUAAACAAUUUGUUAAAAUUUUCCAU
Non-coding RNA from Microcebus murinus (gray mouse lemur), 897 nucleotides. The record is from RefSeq and is a predicted model, not a curated record. NCBI's taxonomy places the organism in Eukaryota, Metazoa, Chordata, Mammalia, Primates, Cheirogaleidae.